RNAcentral lists this ribosomal RNA (486 nucleotides) under Veillonella sp. oral taxon 158. RNAcentral describes it as "bacterial SSU rRNA". It matches the Rfam family "Bacterial small subunit ribosomal RNA", at positions 28 to 483 of the family's 1533-position model. The record is from RNAcentral. Lineage: Bacteria; Bacillati; Bacillota; Negativicutes; Veillonellales; Veillonellaceae.
GACGAACGCUGGCGGCGUGCUUAACACAUGCAAGUCGAACGAAGAGCGAUGGAAGCUUGCUUCUAUCAAUCUUAGUGGCGAACGGGUGAGUAACGCGUAAUCAACCUGCCCUUCAGAGGGGGACAACAGUUGGAAACGACUGCUAAUACCGCAUACGAUCCAACCUCGGCAUCGAGGAUGGAUGAAAGGUGGCCUCUAUUUAUAAGCUAUCACUGAAGGAGGGGAUUGCGUCUGAUUAGCUAGUUGGAGGGGUAACGGCCCACCAAGGCAAUGAUCAGUAGCCGGUCUGAGAGGAUGAACGGCCACAUUGGGACUGAGACACGGCCCAGACUCCUACGGGAGGCAGCAGUGGGGAAUCUUCCGCAAUGGACGAAAGUCUGACGGAGCAACGCCGCGUGAGUGAUGACGGCCUUCGGGUUGUAAAGCUCCUUUAAUCGGGACGAAAGGUCCUCUUGCGAAUAGUUAGAGGAAUUGACGGUACCGGAA